RNAcentral lists this non-coding RNA (30 nucleotides) under Homo sapiens (human). Lineage: Eukaryota; Metazoa; Chordata; Mammalia; Primates; Hominidae. The record is from RNAcentral.
GUAGUGAGGAUAUGAGGGUUGGGAGAAAGU